This 501-nucleotide ribosomal RNA is filed under the name uncultured bacterium. RNAcentral describes it as "partial 16S ribosomal RNA". It matches the Rfam family "Bacterial small subunit ribosomal RNA", at positions 30 to 523 of the family's 1533-position model. The record is from RNAcentral.
AUUGAACGCUGGCGGCAUGCCUUACACAUGCAAGUCGAACGGCAGCACGGGUGCUUGCACCUGGUGGCGAGUGGCGAACGGGUGAGUAAUACAUCGGAACGUACCUUAUCGUGGGGGAUAACGCAGCGAAAGCUGUGUUAAUACCGCAUACGCCCUGAGGGGGAAAGCGGGGGAUCGAAAGACCUCGCGCGAUUAGAGCGGCCGAUGCCUGAUUAGCUUGUUGGUGGGGUAAAAGCCCACCAAGGCGACGAUCAGUAGCUGGUCUGAGAGGACGAUCAGCCACACUGGGACUGAGACACGGCCCAGACUCCUACGGGAGGCAGCAGUGGGGAAUUUUGGACAAUGGGGGCAACCCUGAUCCAGCAAUGCCGCGUGAGUGAAGAAGGCCUUCGGGUUGUAAAGCUCUUUUGUCAGGGAAGAAACACCGGCUCUAACACAGUCCGGGAAUGACGGUACCUGAAGAAUAAGCACCGGUUAACUACGUGCCAGCAGCCGCCGUAA